ACCGGCGGCUCGAGUGGUGGCCACUAUUACUGGGCUUAAAGCGUUCGUAGCUGGCUUGUUAAGUCUCUGGGGAAAUCUUCCGGCUCAACCGGAAGGCGUCUCAGGGAUACUGGCAGGCUAGGGACCGGAAGAGGUGAGAGGUACUCCAGGGGUGGGGUUGAAAUCCUGUAAUCCUUGGGGGACGACGUGUGGGGGAGGCGUCUCACCAGGACGGCUCCGUCAGUGAGGAACGAAAGCUGGGGGAGCAAAGCG
RNAcentral lists this ribosomal RNA (252 nucleotides) under uncultured prokaryote. RNAcentral describes it as "partial 16S rRNA". It matches the Rfam family "Archaeal small subunit ribosomal RNA", at positions 475 to 726 of the family's 1478-position model. The record is from RNAcentral.